This 73-nucleotide transfer RNA is filed under the name Deltaproteobacteria bacterium. RNAcentral's name for it is "tRNA-His". It matches the Rfam family "tRNA". Rfam says of the family: Transfer RNA (tRNA) molecules are approximately 80 nucleotides in length. The record is from RNAcentral. Lineage: Bacteria; Pseudomonadati; Myxococcota; Myxococcia.
GUGGGUAUAGCUCAACUGGCAGAGCACGGGACUGUGGCUCCCGGGGUUGAGGGUUCGACCCCCUCUACUCACC